GAGAAUACCAUUAAAAUGGCCAUGAUCACUACAAAAACUUUAGUGACAAUUUGCUUUACAAUCCUCUUCAUCAUAUCUUUUGUUCAUUGUUUUCCUAUGAGUCCUGCUGGAAGUCCGAGUUAUGGAACAGGUCCUCAGAGAAUAGGACGUAAGAGAAUAACAUGUUUUGGCUACCCUGUGUGUAAAUCCGCAAGAGGGUUAGGAACAUGUGAUCUUUUUUGUAAAAGACUAAAAUAUGAUUAUGGCAUGUGUACUAAUGUAGAUGUAUGUUGUUGUGUUGAUUUUAUAACUAACUAGUAUGCGGCUCUAAUUAAGAUGAAAUUAUUUCAUAAAAUGUAUUCGUAUCUGCUUAACAAAAAAAACAAUAAUUUUAAUAUACAGAA
Long non-coding RNA from Capsella rubella, 383 nucleotides. RefSeq lists it as uncharacterized. NCBI's taxonomy places the organism in Eukaryota, Viridiplantae, Streptophyta, Magnoliopsida, Brassicales, Brassicaceae. The transcript is spliced from 2 exons. The record is from RefSeq and is a predicted model, not a curated record.